This 798-nucleotide ribosomal RNA is filed under the name uncultured archaeon. Its description in RNAcentral is "bacterial SSU rRNA". It matches the Rfam family "Archaeal small subunit ribosomal RNA", at positions 36 to 835 of the family's 1478-position model. The record is from RNAcentral.
GGAUUCGAUUUAGCCAUGCUAGUCGUACGAGUUCAUACUCGUGGCGAAUAGCUCAGUAACACGUGGCCAAACUACCCUUCGGACCACAAUACCCUCGGGAAACUGAGGCUAAUAGUGGAUAUCACAGCCCACCUGGAAUGAGUGAUGUGCCAAACGCUCCGGCGCCGAAGGAUGUGGCUGCGGCCGAUUAGGUAGACGGUGGGGUAACGGCCCACCGUGCCAAUAAUCGGUACGGGUCAUGAGAGUGAGAACCCGGAGACGGAAUCUGAGACAAGAUUCCGGGCCCUACGGGGCGCAGCAGGCGCGAAACCUUUACACUGCACGCCAGUGCGAUAAGGGAAUCCCAAGUGCGUAGGCAUAGAGCCUACGCUUUUGUCCACCGUAGGGAGGUGGACGAAUAAGGGCUGGGCAAGACCGGUGCCAGCCGCCGCGGUAAUACCGGCAGCCCAAGUGAUGGCCGAUCUUAUUGGGCCUAAAGCGUCCGUAGCUGGCCGCGCAAGUCCAUCGGAAAAUCCACCCGCUCAACGGGUGGGCGUCCGGUGGAAACUGCGUGGCUUGGGACCGGAAGGCGCGACGGGUACGUCCGGGGUAGGAGUGAAAUCCCGUAAUCCCGGACGGACCGCCGAUGGCGAAAGCACGUCGCGAGAACGGAUCCGACAGUGAGGGACGAAAGCUAGGGUCUCGAACCGGAUUAGAUACCCGGGUAGUCCUAGCCGUAAACAAUGCCUGCUAGGUGUGGCUCCCACUACGAGUGGGUGCUGUGCCGUAGGGAAGCCGCUAAGCAGGCCGCCUGGGAAG